AACGCACAUUGCACUCUCUGGUAUUCCGGAGAGUAUGCUUGUUUGAGUAUCUGUAAACAUCUCAAAUCUCUCGACGCUUGCGUCUGAGAGAAUUGGAUUUGAGCGAUCCCGACUCCUUCAUCAGAAAGAGGAGGGUCGCUUGAAAUGCAGGUGCAGCUGGACAUUCUUCUGAGCUAAAAGCAUAUCUAUUUAGUCCCGUCAAACGGAUUAUUACUUUUGCUUCAGCUAAUAUAAAGGUUGAAUGAACUACCAACGCUGAUUGCAGGAAAACUUGUUCGUAACUGAACUUGUAAACUCGAUCUCAAAUCAAGUAAGACUACCCGCUGAACUUAA
Molecule: unclassified non-coding RNA, 333 nt
Filed under: uncultured Mortierella
Lineage: Eukaryota; Fungi; Mortierellomycota; Mortierellomycetes; Mortierellales; Mortierellaceae
Description: sequence contains ITS2
Source: RNAcentral